UACGUAGGGUGCAAGCGUUGUCCGGAAUUAUUGGGCGUAAAGAGCUCGUAGGCGGCCUGUCGCGUCGGCUGUGAAAACCCAGGGCUCAACCCUGGGCCUGCAGUCGAUACGGGCAGGCUAGAGUCCGGCAGGGGAGACUGGAAUUCCUGGUGUAGCGGUGAAAUGCGCAGAUAUCAGGAGGAACACCGGUGGCGAAGGCGGGUCUCUGGGCCGAUAUUGACGCUGAGGAGCGAAAGCGUGGGGAGCGAACAGG
This 253-nucleotide ribosomal RNA is filed under the name uncultured bacterium. RNAcentral's name for it is "partial 16S ribosomal RNA". It matches the Rfam family "Bacterial small subunit ribosomal RNA", at positions 524 to 776 of the family's 1533-position model. The record is from RNAcentral.